UGACCUGAGCUGAAGUCGGCCGCUUAACCGACUGAGCCACCCAGGCGCCCCUCGCUAUUGUUAAUAAUGCCGGCGUGAACGCUGGUGUGCCAAUGUCUCUUCAAGACCCUGCCUUCAGUUCUUGGAAGCAAGCAUCCACUUGCUGCGUGGAUGGUGGCGUCUCUGUGUUUAUUUUCUCCAGGAACUUCCAUACUUUUCCACAGAGGCUGCACCACCCUAUGUGCCCACCUGCAGUGCACAGGGGAAAUAGACCUGGCAUCCUUUUUAAGAGUGGAAUUAAGGAGGUCUAAAUUUCCAGUUACAAAAUCAAGAAGUCAUGGGGAUUAAAAAAAAAAAAAAAACAGCAUAGGAAACACAGGCAGUAAUAUUGUGAUAAUGUCGUGUAAUGACGGAUGGCAGCCAGGCUCACCAUGCGGGAUGCUGGGGAUUGUGUGCAGUUGUGCGAUCCCCGUACGUCCGCCUGAAACUAAUAUGACCCUGUGCGUCCACUCUGCGAAAGCCACCGCACCAGAGUGGAGACAGGCCACAUCCCGGGAGUUCAGGUGGCAGGAUCCCGAGCCUGACGUCAGCCAGGAGCUCGGGGGCUCCCUGCCGUUGGUCGAUCCCUGUGUGCCUGGCGUGGCCUGGCAGGGUCGUGCAGAAUUCUAUGCCCAGACACCUCUGAUCUGGUCACCGUGUAGAGCACAGUUUAGUCCGCACGUGGCCGAUCCUGUAGACGCCUGCCCUGUGUCUGCCUCCCCCUUUUUGCAUCCUAACACCGCUGCGCUUUUGUUCACACUUAGGGCCAGAGAUAUGUUUACUGGCCCUGGGUGCUGGGGGAGGCGCUGGGGGGGCAGGGAGGACAAAGGGCCCCCAGGUGCGGAGGGUGGAUGAGUGCGGCCGAAACUAGAAUCGCAGAGUCUGCUCUGGACACUCGUUCGCCGCCCAGGACGGGGAGCCGGCAGCCCAGGGCAGAGCGAGUGCGUCCCCGCUUCCUGGGAAGGAGGCCAGUUAGAGCCGCCCCGCGGGGCCGGGGCCCGACGCCCCUCGCCAAGGACGCUGUGUUAUCUGUGCAUUUGGAAGGAAAGGAGGGUUAAAAUACCUCUUUGUCUGCUGAGGACCGGGUCCGUCGUGACUCAUUUCUCCUUCCUUCCGUUUAGUAAGAGAGACGGGCCCUGUGCCAGCCAGUACGUUCCCAGGCCAGGCAGGUGCAGAACUCCCUGAGACGCUGCGACACGCUGGAUUGCUCGUUUAAUUUAAGGCUUAAACAGCUCCAAGAAAUACGUAGAAGCCUAUGCAUCACCGCGGAGGACUUGAUCGGAGGUGGGUGUCGCGGGGCCUGCUGGCUGACACCCGCAGCAAGCUGGAGUCAUUCUGGGGGACCACACGAGGCUGUGCGUGCCCUUGACACCGUGUGCAGAGAGGGCGCGGCUUAAAGAGGCGGGUGUCCAAUUGUCAUUUGACUGUUUUUCUCUCUAGUUUCCACUUUACUGGUUUAACGAGUCCCCACGAUACUCGGCUCCAACCCGGGCGCACAUUUUGGAUUGCUGACGAGGCUCAGGACAUGCGUGUGCCCCAGCGUUUCACACCGACAGGCAGAGACACACGGGGUGGUCCUUCUCACGGGCCCUCCACCUCCUGCACCCGCCUGGGGCCUGCGGGCCCGGCAGCCCCGGGUGCCCUGCGCGCGCCCUGCUGCCUCCCUGGGACCCCUGCGGCCACCUGCCAGCAGCCGACUUGCUGAGCUAGGAUUUCCCGUGUUGGAAACAGGAAAACUAAAAAAUAAUCUCUGGUUACGCAGAGACCCGCUGAGCAGAUCAGUGCGCCCUGAGCAGGCCCCUCAAGUGCAACCCAGCUCUGACCUUCCGCAGAGACCCCCUUCUUCCCAUUAUUGAUUCUUUAAUGGCAUCUAAUGAUGAUGUAAGGAGGCUGCCGGCCGGGCCCUUCAGUGCCAUCGAUCACUUGUUAAGGAUCAGAGAGGCACGCCCAUCUGCGUACCCCCGACCCGACAUCCCCGGAGGAUCCUGCGCUGCCCCGGGACCCCUCCACCCGGUCCUUCCGGCCCUGCCCCCUCCGCCCGCCCCCCCCCCCAGUCUUCCUGGCCCUGCCCCCUCUGCCUGGGAUCCCCCCAGUCCCUCUGGCCCUGCCCCCUCUGCCCGGGCCCCCUAGUCCUUCUGUCCCCGCUCCCUCUGUCCUGGGGAUCCCCUGGCCCUGCUCCCUCGGCCCGCUCCCCCCCGCCCCCCAGUCCCUCCGGCCCUCCCUCCCUCACAUGCUGUGUCUCUCUUGUGUCCUGCUGGCAGGCCUGCCGUCCCAGCUCUCCGUACCUGAAGCACACGUCUCACCCCCCCCCAUCUGUCUAAAUCCUACCUGUACUCUCAAGACACAUCUCAAAUAUCAUUUCAAAUGUCAAAUAACAGAGUGAUCUUUAAAAAAUAUAAAUCAGAUCAUGUCA
This is a long non-coding RNA of Leopardus geoffroyi (Geoffroy's cat), 2431 nucleotides long. RefSeq lists it as uncharacterized. Lineage: Eukaryota; Metazoa; Chordata; Mammalia; Carnivora; Felidae. The transcript has 2 exons. The record is from RefSeq and is a predicted model, not a curated record.